Molecule: ribosomal RNA, 467 nt
Filed under: uncultured bacterium
Lineage: Bacteria
Description: partial 16S ribosomal RNA
Rfam family: Bacterial small subunit ribosomal RNA
Source: RNAcentral
GACGAACGCUGGCGGCGUGCUUAACACAUGCAAGUCGAACGGAAAGGCCCCAGCUUGCUGGAGUACUCGAGUGGCGAACGGGUGAGUAACACGUGGGUAAUCUGCCCUGCACUCUGGGAUAAGCCUGGGAAACUGGGUCUAAUACUGGAUAUGACCUUUCUCCUUAUGGGGUUUGGUGGAAAGUUUUUCGGUGUAGGAUGAGCCCGCGGCCUAUCAGCUUGUUGGUGGGGUGAUGGCCUACCAAGGCGACGACGGGUAGCCGGCCUGAGAGGGUGAUCGGCCACAUUGGGACUGAGAUACGGCCCAGACUCCUACGGGAGGCAGCAGUGGGGAAUAUUGCACAAUGGGCCGAAGCCUGAUGCAGCGACGCCGCGUUAGGGAUGACGGCCUUCGGGUUGUAAACCUCUUUCAGCAGGGACGAAGCGUAAGUGACGGUACCUGCAGAAGAAGCACCGGCUAACUAUGUG